Molecule: small RNA, 28 nt
Filed under: Bombyx mori (domestic silkworm)
Lineage: Eukaryota; Metazoa; Arthropoda; Insecta; Lepidoptera; Bombycidae
Description: ovarian small RNA-22308
Source: RNAcentral
UAGCAUGUGUCUGAAAUGUUGGAUUCCC